ACGAACGCUGGCGGCGUGCUUAACACAUGCCAGUCGAACGGAAAGGCCCUGCUUUUGUGGGGUGCUCGAGUGGCGAACGGGUGAGUAACACGUGAGUAACCUGCCCUUGACUUUGGGAUAACUUCAGGAAACUGGGGCUAAUACCGGAUAGGAGCUCCUGCUGCAUGGUUGGGGUUGGAAAGUUUCGGCGGUUGGGGGUGGACUCGCGGCUUAUCAGCUUGUUGGUGGGGUAGUGGCUUACCAAGGCUUUGACGGGUAGCCGGCCUGAGAGGGUGACCGGCCACAUUGGGACUGAGAUACGGCCCAGACUCCUACGGGGGGCAGCAGUGGAGAAUAUUGCACAAUGGGCGGAAGGCUGAUGCAGCAACGCCGCGUGCGGGAUGACGGCCUUCGGGUUGUAAACCGCUUUCGCCUGUGACGAAGCGUGAGUGACGGUAAGGGGUAAAGAAGAACCGGCUAACUACG
RNAcentral lists this ribosomal RNA (465 nucleotides) under uncultured bacterium. RNAcentral's name for it is "partial 16S ribosomal RNA". It matches the Rfam family "Bacterial small subunit ribosomal RNA", at positions 29 to 505 of the family's 1533-position model. The record is from RNAcentral.